Molecule: transfer RNA, 87 nt
Filed under: Aneura pinguis
Lineage: Eukaryota; Viridiplantae; Streptophyta; Jungermanniopsida; Metzgeriales; Aneuraceae
Description: tRNA-Ser
Rfam family: tRNA
About the family: Transfer RNA (tRNA) molecules are approximately 80 nucleotides in length. Their secondary structure includes four short double-helical elements and three loops (D, anti-codon, and T loops).
Source: RNAcentral
GGAGAGAUGGCCGAGUGGACGAAGGCGGCAGAUUGCUAAUCUGUUGUAUGAUACUUUCAUACCGAGGGUUCGAAUCCCUCUCUCUCC